RNAcentral lists this ribosomal RNA (406 nucleotides) under uncultured bacterium. Its description in RNAcentral is "partial 16S ribosomal RNA". It matches the Rfam family "Bacterial small subunit ribosomal RNA", at positions 30 to 526 of the family's 1533-position model. The record is from RNAcentral.
CUUGAACGCUGGCGGCAGGCCUAACACAUGCAAGUCGAACGAGUGGCGGACGGGUGAGUAAUGUCUGGGAAACUUCCUGAUGGAGGGGUAUAACUACUGGAAACUGUAGCUGAUACCCCAUACCAUCAUAUGUGCCCAGAAGGGAUUAGCUAGUUGGUGGUGGAACGUCUCACCAAGGCGACGAUCCCUAGCUGGUCUGAGAGGAUGACGAGCCACACUGGAAGUGAGAAACGGUCCAGACUCCUCCGGGAGGCAGCAGUGGGGAAUAUUGCACAAUGGGGGCAAGCCUGAUGCAGCCAUGCCGCUUGUAUGAAGAAGGCCUUCGGGUUGUAAAGUACUUUCAGCGGGGAGGCGUUACCCGCAGAAGAAGCACCGGCUAACUCCGUGCAAGCAGCCGCGGUAAUAC